UACGUAGGGUGCGAGCGUUGUCCGGAAUUAUUGGGCGUAAAGGGCUCGUAGGCGGUUUGUCGCGUCGGGAGUGAAAUCCACUGGCUUAACUGGUGGCUUGCUUUCGAUACGGGCAGACUGGAGGUAUGCAGGGGAGAACGGAAUUCCUGGUGUAGCGGUGAAAUGCGCAGAUAUCAGGAGGAACACCGGUGGCGAAGGCGGUUCUCUGGGCAUUACCUGACGAUGAGGAGCGAAAGUGUGGGGAGCGAACAGG
This 253-nucleotide ribosomal RNA is filed under the name uncultured bacterium. Its description in RNAcentral is "partial 16S ribosomal RNA". It matches the Rfam family "Bacterial small subunit ribosomal RNA", at positions 524 to 776 of the family's 1533-position model. The record is from RNAcentral.